GUUUCAUUUCUCUUCUCUUCUCUUCUCUUUUCUUCUCUUUUUUUUCUCUGCUCACCUUCAAUUCCCUUUCUCUUCUCUGCUCGCCGUCAAUUACUUUUUCCACAACACACAAAUAUGUGACAUUGCUACCGGAAAGAACACAUUGGACCAACAAGGUAUCACACAACCUAGUCACCGACACUAGAUAUCUCACAACCCAACCACAAGCACUCACGACUCAGUCACCGACAAUAACGUCACGCGACCCAACUAUUGCCAAGAACUCACGAGCUGCUCUCUUUCGUUCUCUUUGGGAUAAAGUUCAACAUGCUAGAGACAAUGGGGUGGUUCUUUACAAUGUGACACUCAAGUGUUUAGGAAAUGUAAUAAUUUUGAAGGAGCAAAGAAGUUAUUUGAUGAAAUGCUUCAAAGAGGUUAUUUGAUGAGAUGCUAUCACUUGCUCGGCUAUGGUGUGUGCUUUUGUGCAUACUAAUCAUAUUGAUAUGGCUCGGUGUUUAUAUGAUCGUGCAAAAAUGGAGAAAUGUAUAAUAACUAAGGACCAAGGAACUAGGAAUCCAACAUUAGGCCUAUCCACAAAUUAAUCUGUUAAGAUAAUUCAAUAUUUAUUUCAA
This is a non-coding RNA of Cicer arietinum (chickpea), 611 nucleotides long. Lineage: Eukaryota; Viridiplantae; Streptophyta; Magnoliopsida; Fabales; Fabaceae. The record is from RefSeq and is a predicted model, not a curated record.